Molecule: ribosomal RNA, 422 nt
Filed under: uncultured bacterium
Lineage: Bacteria
Description: bacterial SSU rRNA
Rfam family: Bacterial small subunit ribosomal RNA
Source: RNAcentral
AUUAAUGUUGGCAGUGUGCCUAAUACAUGCAAGUCGAGCGAUAUAGCGGCAGACGAGAGAGUAAUAGGAAGGAACUUACCCCGAACUCAAGGAUAGCCACCCGAAAGGGUGGGUAAACCUGGAUAGUCCCGCAAGGGUAAAGAUUUAUCGGUUCGGGAGAGGCCUUCCUCCUAUCAGCUUGUUGGUGAGGUAAAAGCUUACCAAGGCAAUGACGGGUAGCUGGUCUGAGAGGAUGACCAGCCUCGAUGGGACUGAGACACGGCCCAUACUCCUACGGGAGGCAGCAGUAGGGAAUUUUGCACAAUGGACGCAAGUCUGAUGCAGCAACACUGCGUGAAGGAUGAAGGUUUUCGGAUCGUAAACUUCUUUUAUCAGGGAAUAAUCUUGAAGGUACCUGAUGAAUAAGCACCGGCUAACUACGU